Molecule: long non-coding RNA, 1167 nt
Filed under: Medicago truncatula (barrel medic)
Lineage: Eukaryota; Viridiplantae; Streptophyta; Magnoliopsida; Fabales; Fabaceae
Description: long non-coding RNA (MTRU_LNC003580)
Source: RNAcentral
UUUUGAUUUCAUCAAAUUAUUCUAUGGUUUCUUCACAGCUAGGUAAAGGAUUUCCAAGAGUUUUUUUAUUAUGCUGGAAAACUAUGUGAACCUACACAAUUGUGAAUGCGAACAAUCGACGUGGAAACAAGUGAGCUACUAACUAAAAUGGGCAGUGAUACACAUACAAGCUUACGUGGCAUACACACUUCUACCACCAUAUACAAUUGUGACAUUUAUUGAUAUGGUUCCCACACACAAAAAAACUCUAGCAUUUUUGUCUCUCACUCUCUCUCUUCCGUCUCUUUUCUUCACCAUCUCUUCUCCCUCUUUUCCUCACCAAUUCCAAAUUACAACAAUCUUCAUCUUCAUCUUUUCCUCACCAUCACUUAAACCAGAAAAUGAUAGAAACAACAACAAUCUUCAUCUUCAACAAUUCAAAAUUCAUCCUUAUAUGCAGAAAAAUUCAUUAAACCCAUAAUUCUCUCAAAUCCAAUCCUAUCUCUUAUUCUCUCCAAUCUCCUUCACUGUUUUAAAAACGCGUCAUAAUCAUUAUCAAUAAUUCCAACUCUUUAGAUCAACACAAACUUGAUAUUAAUCUCAGAUUCAUCUGCUCUGUUGUUGUUGCAAAAGUUUCAAAAUAGAAUUUGGUUCUAAAUAGCUCUGAUAAGAUGAAAUCUUGGGUUUGUUAUGAAUAUGGGUCACAUAGAAUUCGUUUUUUUUUUAUUAUUAAAAUAAAUUGUUGUUGAGGGUGGCGCUGACGGCGGAGGUGACGUGAAGUUGCCAGCUUGAUGGUGUUUGUGUGUUGCAGACGGUGGAGGAGUCUGUGGUGGGGAGAGAGAGAGAUUUGUUGUGUUUAUUAGAAAGGAGAAGAGGACAAUGAAAGAGAAAAUGGUGAAAUAUCUAAAAUAUCCCUACUACAUAAGGGGUGUACACAAGUGGUAUAGAAAAAAGGUGGUCUACCAAUAUUUAUCCAACUAAAAUACAUUGUACAUGAUUUUGACUAAGAUGAAUUGUUUCAAUUAACAAUUCUCGUGAGAAACGUUUAAUGUUCGAUAAUUUUAUAAGAUAAUGCGACCAAUCCAAAAAUAUAACCAAAACUAAGUGCAUUGGAUUGAUUAUUUUGCUGAUCGGGAUCAACAUGAACUAAAUCAAUGUAUUCAAUCUGGUAUGGUUCGGGUUCAUAAG